UACGUAGGUGACCAGCGUUGUCCGGAUUUACUGGGCGUAAAGAGCGCGCAGGCAGUCGUUCAAGUCGAGUGUGAAAGCCCCCGGCUCAACUGGGGAGGGUCACUCGAUACUGAUCGACUUGAAGGCAGGAGAGGGAAGCGGAAUUCCCGGUGUAGUGGUGAAAUGCGUAGAUAUCGGGAGGAACACCAGUGGCGAAGGCGGCUUCCUGGCCUGUUCUUGACGCUGAGGCGCGAAAGCUAGGGGAGCAAACGGG
Molecule: ribosomal RNA, 253 nt
Filed under: uncultured bacterium
Lineage: Bacteria
Description: partial 16S ribosomal RNA
Rfam family: Bacterial small subunit ribosomal RNA
Source: RNAcentral